GUUUUGCCGGCUCUCCUGUACUGCUGAGGAUUGCUACCAACUAGGUGGAUUUGGCUAUGGAGCCUGUGUAGUGUCAUCUGUUGGUAGCAACAGCAAUAUGCACUACCUGAAUAGCAAGGCUAGUUGAUUUGCAUAUUGCCAAUUCUACAGGCCGGAGCUAUAUUUUCUGUUAACCCCUUAAGGACAUAUUUCCGUCACGUGUGCUAAAGAGGUUAAUUAUGGUCUUCCCCACAGCGUUAUAAUAAGUUGCUCUAUGUUGUCUGCUAUGAUUUGACUGUUUGUAUUUUUAUUGAAUUGUCACAGCAAUCUUUAUGUAAUAAUCACUAGUCCUGAG
Non-coding RNA from Pelobates cultripes (western spadefoot toad), 334 nucleotides. The record is from the annotation of a GenBank genome assembly. Lineage: Eukaryota; Metazoa; Chordata; Amphibia; Anura; Pelobatidae.